GGUUGCAAGCUCAAGGCAUUAUCAGAGGCACUAAUGGUGCUGCCCUGUCAGAUUCCAAUGAAUCUGUGAAUUCUGCU
Molecule: ribozyme, 77 nt
Filed under: Crocodylus porosus (Australian saltwater crocodile)
Lineage: Eukaryota; Metazoa; Chordata; Crocodylia; Crocodylidae
Description: Mammalian CPEB3 ribozyme (ENSCPRG00005007587.1)
Rfam family: Mammalian CPEB3 ribozyme
About the family: The mammalian CPEB3 ribozyme is a self cleaving RNA located in the second intron of the CPEB3 gene which belongs to a family of genes regulating messenger RNA polyadenylation. This ribozyme is highly conserved and found only in mammals.
Source: Rfam by way of RNAcentral